This 2000-nucleotide long non-coding RNA is filed under the name Sus scrofa (pig). Its description in RNAcentral is "lncRNA (ENSSSCG00015032317.1)". The record is from RNAcentral. Lineage: Eukaryota; Metazoa; Chordata; Mammalia; Artiodactyla; Suidae.
AAGUACCAUGUUAAAUGGAUCUUGGGGUAUCUUCCUUAGUUCUGACACUAUAAUAACCUUUAAUAAAAAUAAUAUUAAGAAUAUCAUUUUUGGUCUCUGGCCACCUGUUCUUCAUCUUAAAGUCUUAAAACACUAUGAGUUGAGGAGGGGACUCUUAUUGGGAAAACAUUUGUUCUUACAUAUUUUUCACUUCCUUCUGGAGAUUAUUCCAUCCUCCAAAUUGAAAGGAAACACUUGUAUAGCCUGAAGUGUCUUUUAAGGUGUAUACUGUGUUCAUUAAUGACUCGUUGGUAAUAAACUUUAUGUCAUACUAUAAGAGAGCUCAAUUCUAGUAUCUACUAGAUGUUAUAAUUAUUACUGCAUAUAGAUUAUUUUAAGAAGUAUAUGAAGUAUUUCAAGUGAAAAAAGCAAGUUGCAAAGGAGUCAUUAUUUUAUGCUAUCAUUUGUAUUUUAUAAAAUGCUAAGUAUGUACUUUUAUUUACAGAGUGUUUUUACAAAUGAAACUGGUAAUAGGGAGAGGAAAACUGGGGCACUGGAGAUUCUGUUUUGGAAGGAGACUUACCAUUUGCUGCAUACAUUUUUGUGCAAUUUUGGUGAAAAGUGGCAUAUCAAUUUUAAGAAAAUAUUAGUGCAUAUAGUUAAUACUCCUAUAAAAAGAUGGAUUGGAGUAGAAUAUUCUCCAAGAUUCCUUUCACUCUAAAAGUCUAGAAUUCUAAGCUUAUUUGUGUGCUCAGAUAGCCAGUCUAUAUCCAAGGAGAGCAAAACCAGUCCCUGCUAUUGAGGGAUUUAUAGUCUCAAAGGGUUGGGCACUGUNGGAGGAUACAUGCCAUGGAGGAUAUGAGAAAUAUGUUGCCAUUUAUAGAAAAGCCUGGCUCUCUUUUGCAGAUCAAGUUGUUCUAGACAGUCUUGUAAAAAUAACUUAGCUAUGUUAACCCACAAAAAUUGAAGAAUUAUUUGAGAUGGAAGUUCAUCUAAAAGUUACUAUAUUCUUCCCUACUUCACCAGGAUAUGAUAUGAAUGCAAUACAAUACUAUUGGUAUGAACUGUCCUUAUUUAUAAGAUUAGGAACUUGUUACAGUAGUAUCAUUAAAGUCUUUUGAGGGGCAUAGAUAGGGCUGUUGCUCUUAAGUUUAGUGACAUCACUCCUAAAUUUAGUGAUGUACUUUUUCAUAGUGGUGUUUUUCUGGAUUCCUCUGUAGAUCUCAUUAUUGACACCUCUCAAAACCCUGACCUGAGGAAGAAACACUUUGCUCCAUUUCAAAUUCACUAGCCUAAUAUAUUAGACUUAGAGAACAGCUAGUAGUAAUUUUUAGGACAUUAUGCAAAGUAUAAAUAGGACCCGAGUUUGCACCACACCUUUAAAUAGCACCCAUCUAUCUUACGGAUGGACUUCGUGAAAUCCACUUCCGUUGCUUAGAGUUCUUAUUUUUAUUAGUUCCUCAUUCUUAUCUGUGUUCCUUAUAGGCGUGAUUUUCUAGUAGCUUAGGACAUGGCAUAGAAAUAAAGGAUGUUCAAGAAUGGCAAGAAAUGAAGGAAAGAACUCCAUGGGAAAUGUUAAAACUGAAAAGGCCAAAUUUUACAAUAACAUGUAAAUAACUAGUCACAGUACAUUUAAAUAUUAGGGAUUCUGUCAAGAAAUUUCCAAAUGUGGAGUUCCUGUUGUGUGUGGCUCAGUGGGUUAAGAACCCGACGAGUAUCCAUGAUGACGCAGGUUCGAUUCUUGGCCUUGCUCAGUAGGUUAAGGAUCCAGUGUUGCUGCAGCUCAGAUCCAGCAUUGCUACGGCUGCACUGUAGGCUGGCAACUACAGCUCUGAUUCAACCCCUGGCCCAGGAACUUCUGUAUGCUGCAGGUGCAGCCCUAAAAGGAAAAAAAAUUCCAAAUCAAUUGUUAGAGUAUAUAUUGAACAUCAGUUAUUUCGUUCUUCUUGUUCAGGGAAAUAUAGAGACUGGAAAGAACACAAUUUUGUCCACAUACCAUAAACUGCUAAAAAGAAAAAAAA